CUGCUUCAAACGCUGGCAAUGGCAGUCCUCCACAGGAGUGGCCUAGUCGCUGGUGCUACCUGAAGACUUAAACCUACUGAGCCUGAACCUCCGAGAGGUCACCAUCUUCUCAUUUUAAGGUGGGACACACUUUAAGCCAGGAACCUGUGACGGGCACUCCAGGCAGGCGGGCCAAGGCUUUUAUCGUAUUUUCUGUCCUAGAUGCUGCUUCUAAGGAAGGACAAAGCUCAUGACGUUAAGUUUAAGGGGAAGCAAACAGCACUCACGUCUGCAUCAUCCAGGGCCAUGUUCCUGACCUUGUUUGCAGCAGAAACUCCCAUCUGGAAGUGCAAAGGUCCUACCCUGACCCUGUCCAAAGUCUUCCAGCGGGGAGGUCUGGAGUUCAAGUGUGGUUUCAUUGCCAAAAACAACUCCCAGAAAAGCAGCCAGCAGUUCCCAGAGUAAAAUGACAGGGUCUGGCAUGCAGGAGGUAUGUGGUAACAGGAUGGCACUUUGUGAUGGAUUCGGCUGCUGGAGGAAGAAACAGGCCCACAAGCGCAGAUGCUCACAGCUAUAAUCCCAGUACUUUGAAAAGGUGAGGUAGGAUGAUCACUUGACCCCAGGAGUUC
This 608-nucleotide long non-coding RNA is filed under the name Rhinopithecus roxellana (golden snub-nosed monkey). RNAcentral's name for it is "lncRNA (ENSRROG00000045968.1)". The record is from RNAcentral. Lineage: Eukaryota; Metazoa; Chordata; Mammalia; Primates; Cercopithecidae.